AUGGUCCGGAGGGUCCAUUACAAAUGUUUGUGUGGUUCUUUCUUCUAUCUAAAUAAAUGUGUAAAUAAAUGUGUAGAACAGACGCAUACUAUACAUUAUUAUUAUUGUAAAAGAAUACAUUAUAGUUAUUUCAAACAUAUGAUAUCCAGGUUCACUACCAAAAUUGGAUGA
Vicia faba (fava bean) is the source of this 171-nucleotide non-coding RNA. The record is from the annotation of a GenBank genome assembly. Lineage: Eukaryota; Viridiplantae; Streptophyta; Magnoliopsida; Fabales; Fabaceae.